AGAGGGAUUGCUGAAUUAUAUGAUAAAUCUAUAUUAAGCCUUUUGAGGAACUGCCAGAAAGUUUUCCAAAGUGGCUGCGCCAUUUAUAUUCUCAUCAGUAGU
Molecule: microRNA precursor, 102 nt
Filed under: Marmota monax (woodchuck)
Lineage: Eukaryota; Metazoa; Chordata; Mammalia; Rodentia; Sciuridae
Source: RNAcentral